AUUGAACGCUGGCGGCAGGCCUAACACAUGCAAGUCGAGCGAGCGGCGGACGGGUGAGUACUGUAUGGGGAUCUGCCCGAUAGAGGGGGAUAACUACUGGAAACGGUAGCUAAUACCGCAUACCAUCGGAUGUGCCCCGAUGGGAUUAGCUAGUAGGUGGGGUAAAGUCUCACCUAGGCUACGAUCCCUAGCUGGUCUGAGAGUAUGACCAGCCACACUGUAACUGAGAAACGGUCCAGACUCUGACGGGAGGCAGCAGUGGGGAAUAUUGCACAAUGGGCGAAAGCCUGAUGCAGCCAUGCCGCGUGUAUGAAGAAGGCCUUCGGGUUGUAAAGUACUUUAAGCGGGGAGGCGUUACCCGCAGAAGAAGCACCGGCUAACUCCGUGCCAGCAGCCGCGGUAAUUC
RNAcentral lists this ribosomal RNA (406 nucleotides) under uncultured bacterium. RNAcentral describes it as "partial 16S ribosomal RNA". It matches the Rfam family "Bacterial small subunit ribosomal RNA", at positions 30 to 526 of the family's 1533-position model. The record is from RNAcentral.